UCCCUGGUACUUCAGUGGGUUAAGAAGCUGGCAUUGUCACUGCUGUGGCAUGGGUUCAAUCCCUGACCCUGGAA
Molecule: transfer RNA, 74 nt
Filed under: Sus scrofa (pig)
Lineage: Eukaryota; Metazoa; Chordata; Mammalia; Artiodactyla; Suidae
Rfam family: tRNA
About the family: Transfer RNA (tRNA) molecules are approximately 80 nucleotides in length. Their secondary structure includes four short double-helical elements and three loops (D, anti-codon, and T loops).
Source: Rfam by way of RNAcentral